GCCCUGCUAGCUCAGUGGUAGAGCGUCGCACUCGUAUACGCCCAUUGUUGCAUCCGAUGCGAAGGUCAGUCGUUCAAGUCGGCUGUGGGGCA
This is a non-coding RNA of Schizophyllum commune H4-8, 92 nucleotides long. The record is from the annotation of a RefSeq genome assembly. NCBI's taxonomy places the organism in Eukaryota, Fungi, Basidiomycota, Agaricomycetes, Agaricales, Schizophyllaceae.